UAGAUUUUCAAUAAAUGCAGUUAAAAGUAAAAUUAUUUCUUCUUACCUAUAAAUUUAUGAAUGACAGUCUUUAUCACAGUUACGUAUAGAUGUACUUCUCUGUUU
Molecule: non-coding RNA, 105 nt
Organism: Vicugna pacos (alpaca)
Lineage: Eukaryota; Metazoa; Chordata; Mammalia; Artiodactyla; Camelidae
Source: RefSeq, a predicted model, not a curated record